This 465-nucleotide ribosomal RNA is filed under the name Staphylococcus aureus. Its description in RNAcentral is "bacterial SSU rRNA". It matches the Rfam family "Bacterial small subunit ribosomal RNA", at positions 1068 to 1533 of the family's 1533-position model. The record is from RNAcentral. Lineage: Bacteria; Bacillati; Bacillota; Bacilli; Caryophanales; Staphylococcaceae.
UGAGAUGUUGGGUUAAGUCCCGCAACGAGCGCAACCCUUAAGCUUAGUUGCCAUCAUUAAGUUGGGCACUCUAAGUUGACUGCCGGUGACAAACCGGAGGAAGGUGGGGAUGACGUCAAAUCAUCAUGCCCCUUAUGAUUUGGGCUACACACGUGCUACAAUGGACAAUACAAAGGGCAGCGAAACCGCGAGGUCAAGCAAAUCCCAUAAAGUUGUUCUCAGUUCGGAUUGUAGUCUGCAACUCGACUACAUGAAGCUGGAAUCGCUAGUAAUCGUAGAUCAGCAUGCUACGGUGAAUACGUUCCCGGGUCUUGUACACACCGCCCGUCACACCACGAGAGUUUGUAACACCCGAAGCCGGUGGAGUAACCUUUUAGGAGCUAGCCGUCGAAGGUGGGACAAAUGAUUGGGGUGAAGUCGUAACAAGGUAGCCGUAUCGGAAGGUGCGGCUGGAUCACCUCCUUU